Molecule: ribosomal RNA, 466 nt
Filed under: uncultured bacterium
Lineage: Bacteria
Description: partial 16S ribosomal RNA
Rfam family: Bacterial small subunit ribosomal RNA
Source: RNAcentral
AACUAACGCCGGCGGUAUGCUUAACACAUGCAAGUCGAACGAACAAAAUUGGGGCUUGCUCCAAUUUUAGUGAGUGGCAAACGGGUGAGUAACACGUGGGAAUCUACCUAUCAGUACGGAAUAACAUUUGGAAACAGAUGCUAAUACCGUAUAUUCUCCAAGGAGGAAAGAUUUAUCGCUGAUAGAUGAGCCCGCGUAAGAUUAGGUAGUUGGUAGGGUAAUGGCCUACCAAGCCGACGAUCUUUAGCUGGUCUGAGAGGAUGAUCAGCCACACUGGGACUGAGACACGGCCCAGACUCCUACGGGAGGCAGCAGUGGGGAAUAUUGGACAAUGGGCGAAAGCCUGAUCCAGCAAUACCGCGUGAAUGAUGAAGGCCUUAGGGUUGUAAAGUUCUUUUAGUUGGAAAGAUAAUGACGGUACCAACAGAAAAAGCCCCGGCUAACUCCGUGCCAGCAGCCGCGGUAA